CAAAACAAAACAUAAAUAAGAAAAACAAGAUUCAAUUCAUUUAAAAAUAAAAAAACAUAAAACUAUAGUUUCUGCAUUGGAAGAAAAGCUGUUUUGACUUGUCUCCCAAACACCUAGUGUGAACCCACAUUUUGCAGGACGUACAUUGGGCCCACUGUUCCUUCGGAAGGGAUUGAAAGAAUUUUCCCAGGCAAUUUUUUCCUUACUUCAUCUUCUAAUGCUAUUUUAUCAGGAGUAUCCGUCAGGAUAGUUGUUCGCCCCCUUUUUUUUCCACCUCUUGCAGGAAAUGCUGCGAGUUUUGAUUUUGGAUACGGCAUAACAAUUUCUGGAGAAAAAGCAAUUCCUGUUGCAGUAAGAGGUAUAGCAGGGGAUAAAUUUAAGUUCGUGAUGGCUUCUGGCAUCAGCGCAGCUUGAGAUGAAGUUGAAGCUAAGGACUGAAGGACUGGGUUGGAACUUCAAGUGGAUUCGGUCUAUCAGUGACAUCGCUAGGGGAAAACUCAUCAUCCCCGGAAAUAUCUAGAUUAACUGGCCAAAUUCCGGAUACCCUGAAGCCUGACAAGAUAUUUGUGGGUGUAGCUGCUUUUUCCAGUGCAAUCUUUGAAAGCUCGGGUAUAUCGUAGAUUUUUAUACGAUUUCCUGAAAAAUGAUAAAACUUUUUAAGUCGGACAAUGAAGUUAAUUAAUUUUUUGAUUACCUGCAUUAAACCUCAUCCAAUUUCCACAAUCCACAUGUCUGAUUGAAAUAGGUUUUCAUUUGGCCAAAAACAGCCCGGUCUAAUGGCUAAAGUUUAUGUGAGCAGUGAGGAGGGAAAGUUGGUAGCACGAUACCAUUUUCUUUACAGAAAUUAACUACUGACAGAGAAAGGUGUGAUUGGUGAUUGUCAAGGAGGAUCAAUUUGCGAUUGGUUUCGGAGGCAUUGGUAUGUUUAACCAGGUGUUCCAUAAAGUUUAAAAACUCCGAUUGCAUCCAUCCCGACUUAUUUGAUGCUCUAAUACUGCCGAUGGACGCAUUUAGUGGUAAGUCCAUAAUAUAAAUCGGCACAGUGAUUUAUGUAAGCUUCCAACUUAUCCUUCAAUACAAAACACAAAACAAUGAAUGUUUACCUAAUUUUUUUUUAUUAAAAAAAAAAACACUUCGUAUUCAUCAUUAAAUACCCUGUUGUGGGUCUUAUAUCCAAUCUCUGGGUAAACGGCGUCCUCAGGGGAGUCUUCAGCAAAGGUUUUUUUUUACAAACCGACUUAAAGUUACAUGGCAGAUGUUAAAUGCUUUUGCUACACUUCAAAUGGAUUUUCCAUUUUUGAGAACUUCAUCGGCUUUAUUUGCCAUGAUCUGUCUUGAAACCAUGCCAAGCGAGAUUGUUCUGAUUCUUUGUCGUGGCAUUCUCGUUGUAAACUGCUUAUUAUUAAUUUUAAGUAAC
Molecule: long non-coding RNA, 1417 nt
Organism: Episyrphus balteatus (marmalade hoverfly)
Lineage: Eukaryota; Metazoa; Arthropoda; Insecta; Diptera; Syrphidae
Exons: 2
Source: RefSeq, a predicted model, not a curated record